This 329-nucleotide unclassified non-coding RNA is filed under the name soil metagenome. RNAcentral's name for it is "partial contains 5.8S ribosomal RNA, internal transcribed spacer 2, and large subunit ribosomal RNA". The stretch from base 1 to 120 matches the Rfam family "5.8S ribosomal RNA", at positions 35 to 154 of the family's 154-position model. The record is from RNAcentral.
GAUGAAGAACGUAGCGAAAUGCGAUAAGUAGUGUGAAUUGCAGAAUUCAGUGAAUCAUCGAAUCUUUGAACGCACAUUGCGCCCCUUGGUAUCCCGAGGGGCAUGCCUGUUCGAGCGUCAUUUCACCACUCAAGCCUGGCUUGGUGUUGGGCGACGUCCCCUUUGGGGACGCGCCUCGAAACGCUCGGCGGCGUGGCACCGGCUUUAAGCGUAGCAGAAUCUUUCGCUUUGGAAGUCGGGGCCCCGUCUGCCGGAAGACCUACUCGCAAGGUUGACCUCGGAUCAGGCAGGGAUACCCGCUGAUCUUAAGCAUAUCAAUAAGCGGAGGA